Molecule: long non-coding RNA, 2117 nt
Organism: Mytilus californianus (California mussel)
Lineage: Eukaryota; Metazoa; Mollusca; Bivalvia; Mytilida; Mytilidae
Exons: 3
Source: RefSeq, a predicted model, not a curated record
CUUACACACCAUUACAUAACAGAAGGGUUUUUCUUGGCUCAAUAAACCGACAGAUACCACUGGUCCUCAUCAUUUGAUCUUGGAUAAAGUUUAAUAUCUGUUUCCAACUUCUUGUGAUUUUUAUAGUUAACGAUCAUUCCUAUAAUGCAUCGGACCGUAUGAAGAAUUAACGACAUAGUACAAGAUAAAGUGCAGGUUAUGAUAUGCACACAUAUCAAAUUGUGCUUCACAGAUUGAUUUCUAAACUACUUCAGUAUGAUGAUGAACCCAUAAGAAGAUAGUAAAACCGAGAAGCGUCUGAAAAAACAAUUAUAAAACGCCUUGAUCCUUCAAAACCAAUUUCCAACUCAAGUACUUCCCAUGUGCUGAAGAUAAAUAUGAUUUUAACAUUACAAAGAUGAGCUCUUACUGUUUUAAUCAGAACUUCCGGAAUCGUUUAAGAUAAUUAUGGCUCUGCACGUGCAAUUAGCGUGCAUGCACAAUUAACAUCAACAUACGGAAUCUGGAAUCUGGAAACAAUUUUGUGGUUUGUUAUACUUACAAAGAUGUUUCUUGUAUUUCACCAAACAAUUAAGUGAAACGUUUGUUCGGUUGUAGAUUGUGGCUUUAAUCAUCUUUAUUCACAACACGAUUUUUCAAGUUGACUGUCCAAAAAGGAGAGCCGUUUUUAACGUUAGUGGAUAAACAACCCCUGUUCUGUUUUAAUAACAAUACUUUAAUUAUAGCAGCUGCUCCUGUAUGUUUGUGGAAUUUGAAAUAUGACGAUUGAGUUACUUUAUAAAAAUCGAUUUGAAUAUUUGCCAAAACAUUUUCGUAGUUUUAUUGCAUAGCUUAUUAUUAACCCUUCGCUUUGAAAAUUACAAGACAUAUGUUUUCAAUCAUUUUAGUUUACAUCCUCCAGUAUAAAUUUACCACAUACGUUUCGUAAAGGUUUGAUCAGGAAAAAAAUAACAACCUUCACUUUGAUCGAAAAUUGCAAAUGUAACAAGAUAUAAAAAAUGGUUAGGGUUAGGGUUAGGGUUAGGGGUUAGGGUUAGGGUUAGGGUUAAGGUUAGAGGGAUUUUUUUAUAACAUGCAUUUGUUUAAGUAGGGUACACACUGCAUCUCUUCUGUUAUCCCGUUUGUUCAUCAGUUGAGGUCUGUAUCCGAGGUCUGUACAUAAAUCGACUUUUUGAAGAUGAUAAACGAAUGUUUUCUUCUUUCUUUCUACACCCAGUCAGGCUGUCGUGAUAAUGUGUUGUUCGUAAUUAUUUUAUCUUUGUGUGUACGUCUAUUUUCUUAGAUGCGUUCGGUGUUAGUGGUUGGUGCUGUCUGUUGUAUGAUGAUAACUGGUAUAGUUUUUAUUAUUUACUUUCUAAGAUUUUUUUUUUUUUUAUUUCUAUUAAUUCUGGUAUGAGAACAGGGGUUGAGAAAAGGUUAUACUACAAAAGAACACACAUUUAAUAUCGUUAGAAAAAUGUUUCAAUAAAGAUUAUAUGACAGCACAUAGCAUAGAGCCUGGGAGGAAAAGUGUAUCGGCAAAGAGGAUAUCGUCGGAAUAUAUCCUAGAGCCUCUGAGGAAAAGUGUCACAACAAAGUGGAUAUGUCGGGAUAUAUCAUGGAAUCUGUGAAUGAAAUUGUUACAACAAAGAGAAGAUGUCGGGAUACAUCGGAGAGCCUAUGAGGAUAAGUGUAACAGCAAAUAGGACAUCUUGAAUGAAGCUAAUUGUCUGGUGACAAUACUGCCGGUUUUGUCAUAUUCUUUACUUUGACGACCGAAUCUGACUUUGGGAUUGUAUGACGGCCGUUGUAUUCAUAGUUUCGUUUAAUGGUAUAAGCUUUAGUUACCCUUAGAAAACACUGUCAACCACGGCGAAGCCAAGGUUGACAAUGAUUUUUCGAGGGGUACCAAUCUGCUCUAUCACCCUCUCAACUAUGUGUUAUUUAAUUUAUUAUACUGAAUGUCCCAUCAUUGUUGUCUUUUACAGAUGAAUUUGAUUUAUAAGUAUUUUCUAUGACGUCACGUACAUAACAACGUUACGGGUAUCAGAAAAAUCAACAGAAGUGAAGCAAGAUGUUUUAUUUUUUUUUAUUUUGACAGUCAAAUAAUAAAAUCUGAGCCAAAACGUAGAACUUAA